UUUUUGAUUUUUUUGUAAGGAUUUAGUGUGGGAGCCUGGGAGGUGAAAUAUCUACAUCAACUUCUUUGGCGAUACUUUCUUACAAACAACUAUGGCAUAUACCACAGUGAAGUCUAUGCCAAAAGAUCAUAGUGGCAGAAUCUCCAAGGAGUAUCUGCGAGUAGGGCCCGAUCAUGUGGCUUCUUCAGUCGAUUGCACCAGUUAGUGUUGUUUAUCAGGUAGGAGUUCCCAACAACCAUUCUAGCAAGAAUUCAGGUUCACAUCUUAAACUACGUGGAAUGAACGGAAGUGAAACGUUGAAGUACAAAACUUGUAGACGACCGGUUCGUGGAGGGAUCAAUUAUGUUUAGCUAAUGACUUGGUCCAUUAUUCUUGUAUAUCAUAUGAUAAUCUGAGAUAUUUUACUUUCAAUACUUUGUUUAGGGUGAUUUGGUUUAUAAUGCAUUGUAGUGAAUCUUUGUUUUUCUCUUUUUAAACUUGGAAUCCUAUGGUUGCUCUUAGUUGGCCUUAUUGUAUUUUCUUUUCCUCUCAAUUAGGUAUUGUAAACGAAUUAGUUUGCUGUAAUGUAUAUUUGA
Erigeron canadensis is the source of this 575-nucleotide long non-coding RNA. RefSeq lists it as uncharacterized. The transcript has 3 exons. NCBI's taxonomy places the organism in Eukaryota, Viridiplantae, Streptophyta, Magnoliopsida, Asterales, Asteraceae. The record is from RefSeq and is a predicted model, not a curated record.